GUGCUCGCUUUGGCAGCACAUAUAUUAAAAAUUGGAAUGAUACAGAGAAGAUUAGCAUGGCCCCUGGGCAAGGAUGACACGCAAAUUCAUGAAGCAUUCCAUAUUUUU
Molecule: small nuclear RNA, 108 nt
Organism: Chlorocebus sabaeus (green monkey)
Lineage: Eukaryota; Metazoa; Chordata; Mammalia; Primates; Cercopithecidae
Source: Ensembl